This 56-nucleotide transfer RNA is filed under the name Deltaproteobacteria bacterium RIFCSPLOWO2_02_FULL_50_16. RNAcentral's name for it is "tRNA-Ser". It matches the Rfam family "tRNA", at positions 20 to 71 of the family's 71-position model. Rfam says of the family: Transfer RNA (tRNA) molecules are approximately 80 nucleotides in length. Their secondary structure includes four short double-helical elements and three loops (D, anti-codon, and T loops). The record is from RNAcentral. Lineage: Bacteria; Deltaproteobacteria.
AGAGCACUGCCCUUUUAAGGCAGGUGUCCCGGGUUCGAACCCCGGGCGGCUCACAA